GUGAUAAGCUGCGAUAAGCUUCGGGGAGUUGCACGUAAACUUUGAUCCGAAGAUUUCCGAAUGAGGAAACUCACUUAGAGUAAUGUCUAAGUAUCAUUAAGUGAAUACAUAGCUUAAUGAGGGGAACUCAGGGAACUGAAACAUCUAAGUACCUGAAGGAAGAGAAAGAAAUUCGAUUCCGUAAGUAGCGGCGAGCGAACGCGGAUUAGCCCAAACCAAUAAAGUUUUCUUUAUUGGGGUUGCGGACAUAUCAUAACGAAGAGGUAUCGUAAUUGAAGAGGUUUGGAAAGACCCACCACAGAAGGUAAUAGUCCUGUAUGUUAAACGAGAAGACUUUAGAUAUGAUCCAGAGUACCACGGGACACGUGAAACCCUGUGGGAAGCAGGAGGGACCACCCUCCAAGGCUAAAUACUACCUAGUGACCGAUAGCGUAUAGUACCGUGAGGGAAAGGUGAAAAGAACCCCGGGAGGGGAGUGAAAUAGAACCUGAAACCCUGCACUUACAAGCUGUGGAAGCACAUUUCUUGUGUGACCGCGUACUUUUUGUAGAACGGGCCAACGAGUUACGUUAAGUAGCAAGGUUAAGCACUUAAGGUGCGGAGCCGUAGCGAAAGCGAGUUUUAACUGAGCGUUCAGUUACUUGACGUAGACCCGAAACCGGGCGACCUACCCAUGAGCAGGAUGAAGCGAAAGUAAAAUUUCGUGGAGGUCCGAACCCACGAGCGUUGAAAAGCUCGGGGAUGACUUGUGGGUAGCGGUGAAAUUCCAAUCGAGCCCGGAGAUAGCUGGUUCU
This 794-nucleotide ribosomal RNA is filed under the name Clostridioides difficile. RNAcentral's name for it is "bacterial LSU rRNA". It matches the Rfam family "Bacterial large subunit ribosomal RNA", at positions 58 to 856 of the family's 2925-position model. Lineage: Bacteria; Bacillati; Bacillota; Clostridia; Peptostreptococcales; Peptostreptococcaceae. The record is from RNAcentral.